This 434-nucleotide ribosomal RNA is filed under the name uncultured Lachnospiraceae bacterium. Its description in RNAcentral is "partial 16S ribosomal RNA". It matches the Rfam family "Bacterial small subunit ribosomal RNA", at positions 341 to 792 of the family's 1533-position model. The record is from RNAcentral. Lineage: Bacteria; Bacillati; Bacillota; Clostridia; Lachnospirales; Lachnospiraceae.
ACGGAAGGCAGCAGUGGGGAAUAUUGCACAAUGGGGGAAACCCUGAUGCAGCGACGCCGCGUGAGUGAAGAAGUAUCUCGGUAUGUAAAGCUCUAUCAGCAGGGAAGAAAAUGACGGUACCUGACUAAGAAGCCCCGGCUAACUACGUGCCAGCAGCCGCGGUAAUACGUAGGGGGCAAGCGUUAUCCGGAUUUACUGGGUGUAAAGGGAGCGUAGACGGCGAUGCAAGUCUGAAGUGAAAGGCGGGGGCCCAACCCUUGGACUGCUUUGGAAACUGUAUUGCUAGAGUGCAGGAGAGGUAAGUGGAAUUCCUAGUGUAGCGGUGAAAUGCGUAGAUAUUAGGAGGAACACCAGUGGCGAAGGCGGCUUACUGGACUGUAACUGACGUUGAGGCUCGAAAGCGUGGGGAGCAAACAGGAUUAGAUACCCUGGUA